UGGGGUGCUCGAGUGGCGAACGGGUGAGUAACACGUGAGUAACCUGCCCUUGACUUUGGGAUAACUUCAGGAAACUGGGGCUAAUACCGGAUAGGAGCUCCUGCUGCAUGGUGGGGGUUGGAAAGUUUCGGCGGUUGGGGAUGGACUCGCGGCUUAUCAGCUUGUUGGUGGGGUAGUGGCUUACCAAGGCUUUGACGGGUAGCCGGCCUGAGAGGGUGACCGGCCACAUUGGGACUGAGGUACGGCCCAG
RNAcentral lists this ribosomal RNA (250 nucleotides) under uncultured Actinomycetales bacterium. Its description in RNAcentral is "partial 16S ribosomal RNA". It matches the Rfam family "Bacterial small subunit ribosomal RNA", at positions 83 to 334 of the family's 1533-position model. Lineage: Bacteria; Bacillati; Actinomycetota; Actinomycetes; Actinomycetales. The record is from RNAcentral.